ACUCAGGAACAGGUUAAUGUUAGUGGAUUACUCAGGAACAGGUUAAUGUUAAAGUGGAUUACUCAGGAACAGGUUAAUGUUAAAGUGGAUUACUCAGGAACAGGUUAAUGUUAGUGGAUUACUCAGGAACAGGUUAAUGUUAGUCUAUUACUCAGGAACAGGUUAAUGUUAGUCUAUUACUCAGGAACAGGUUAAUGUUAGUGGAUUACUCAGGAACAGGUUAAUGUUAGUGUAUUACUCAGGAACAGGUUAAUGUUAGUCUAUUACUCAGGAACAGGUUAAUGUUAGUGGAUUACUCAGGAACAGGUUAAUGUUAAAGUGGAUUACUCAGGAACAGGUUAAUGUUAGUAUUUCUCAGGAACAGGUUAAUGUUAGUGGAUUACUCAGGAACAGGUUAAUGUUAGUGGAUUACUCAGGAACAGGUUAAUGUUAGUGGAUUACUCAGGAACAGGUUAAUGUUAGGUGGAUUACUCAGGAACAGGUUAAUGUUAGUGGAUUACUCAGGAACAGGUUAAUGUUAGUGGAUUACUCAGGAACAGGUUAAUGUUAGUGGAUUACUCAGGAACAGGUUAAUGUUAGUGGAUUACUCAGGAACAGGUUCAUGUUAGUGGAUUACUCA
Molecule: long non-coding RNA, 619 nt
Organism: Oncorhynchus tshawytscha (Chinook salmon)
Lineage: Eukaryota; Metazoa; Chordata; Actinopteri; Salmoniformes; Salmonidae
Source: Ensembl